AUGGAAAUUCAUUCAUUCAUGCAUUCUUUCAUUCACGGUUUAUUGAGAAUUACUGAGGUGAGGGACAGGUUUAGUGUGGUUUUCCUAUCUGUUCUUGCUUUUGUUUUAAUCUUUCUCCCCUCAAAUUCUCUACAGAGUUUAAGAUUUCUUCACAACAGCUGCUUCUCUACAGGGGUAACAGCUAGACCUCUGGUAGUGUUAGAAGGAGACAACCCAGGACAGCAGCAGCUGGUUUUAUUUUUGGUUUUCGUCAGGUGUUGGCUUUAUUUUGCCUUUUUCAAGUUUGGUGUCCUAUUGUUCAGCACGAACAACAGAUUUCUAGGGAAGUAUCUGUAUUUUAAAGGAGGGUGUAUAUGGCACUGUGGUCAGUUUUUGUAGCAUUUUUUCCCAAAUGUUAAUUACUGAGCUUCUUGGAAGUGAUUUUUAAAGAGAAGUGCAUAAAAAGGAUGGGUAAGUCGUAUUUGGUGAGGAUCCGUAUUUCAGGUGGAAAGCUAAAGUAGAAUGUGUGUUCUCAAAUCCAUGUACAUAAUUUCUUUUUUCUUCAUUUGGAGUACUUGCCAAUACUAGUGGAAAUUCAGACAGUACAAUUGAGUUUGUAAAUCUUAAGAUUACUAGAAAUUUAAGUUUUAUUUGGUAUAAAGUUCUACAUUUAUAUUUAACUGCAGUAAGUGAGCUUGCUACAAUCUUUGUCAGUUCUUGUUCUUAUCCUCAUUCCACAGUGCUAUGACAUUCUGUUUCCUUAUUUAUGUAGCAAAAUGACUGACUACUCAGGAGUCUUCCCAUGGAAGAGGUCUUCUGAGAUUUGUUGGAAGUAGAAAAUUGCUACUGAGAUGUGCUUUAGUUUUGGCUAUUUCUUACCUUGCUUUGUUUCAGCAGUCAUUAGUAAAGCAAGACAAGAGUGAAAUAGAUGAUAGAGAUGCAUAUUGUGUACUCUAUGAAAGAAGACAUUUUUGGUGAUAACAUUUUCAUUAAAAAUGAGUCCAAUGUGUAUUUAGCCUGGGUGCAGUGGUUCAUGUCUAUAAUCCUAGCAACUUGGUAAACUGAGAUCAGGAGGAUCAUGGCUUGAGGCUAGCCUGAGCAAAAAAGUUUGUGAGACCCCCAUCUCAACCAAUAAAAAGCUGGGUGUGGUGGUGCA
Molecule: long non-coding RNA, 1135 nt
Filed under: Castor canadensis (American beaver)
Lineage: Eukaryota; Metazoa; Chordata; Mammalia; Rodentia; Castoridae
Description: lncRNA (ENSCCNG00000028245.1)
Source: RNAcentral